CAUACAUAAGUACCUACAUAAACAAUCAAUAUAAUAAAUAAAACAAAAAAGGGCUAAAAUAGAAAGAAAACAAACAUGAGGGGGUAGUAUGCGUCACAACCACGCAAUACGGCCCUCGCUCAGCAUGAUGCUGCGACCCCGUGCGAGACAAAGUCCCAGCGCUGAUUUUCAGCGACAGCCGAAACUAACGUUAUGGCGUCCAACGGGUGAUUAUGCGAAUAUGUGUUAAAUAAAUUGUGUUUAAAUAUAUAUUAAAUAAAUAGUGUUUCUUUGAAGAAUAUAAUAGAAUAUAAUUAGUUUACUCCAUAUGAUCAAAAUACAUGUGGUCGCGCCAUUAAUUAUCUAUGCCUGUAAACCAUAGAGGUCAGUGCUGUAACUUAAACAUCUGUCAAAAACUAUUUCAGCUACUGAAAAUAAAAAUGUAUUUUUAAUGGCGACCGACGCUUUCGUACUUUAUUAUAAGAGGGUAAUAUGCUUUACAAAAUAUUGUAUAGUGUGUAUGUAUCAUACGAGAUAAGUAUCUUGAGCAACGAGUGACUAAGUUUUAUCUUAUCCCAGUUUGGGAUCGUGCGAGGUGUUAUAAAAUAUGCUUUGUCAUGACGGUGGGUACAUAAAAAUAUAUGAGGACAUAACAAAGAACACAGAUGAAGGAUAUUUGGAGCAAUAUGAG
This is a long non-coding RNA of Helicoverpa zea (corn earworm), 670 nucleotides long. RefSeq lists it as uncharacterized. The record is from RefSeq and is a predicted model, not a curated record. NCBI's taxonomy places the organism in Eukaryota, Metazoa, Arthropoda, Insecta, Lepidoptera, Noctuidae. The transcript is spliced from 2 exons.